UACGGGGGGAGCAAGCGUUGUUCGGAUUUACUGGGCGUAAAGGGCGCGUAGGCGGCGCGACAAGUCACUUGUGAAAUCUCCGGGCUUAACUCGGAACGGUCAAGUGAAACUGUCAUGCUAGAGUGCAGAAGGGGCAAUCGGAAUUCUUGGUGUAGCGGUGAAAUGCGUAGAUAUCAAGAGGAACACCUGAGGUGAAGACGGGUUGCUGGGCUGACACUGACGCUGAGGCGCGAAAGCCAGGGGAGCAAACGGG
RNAcentral lists this ribosomal RNA (253 nucleotides) under uncultured bacterium. RNAcentral's name for it is "partial 16S ribosomal RNA". It matches the Rfam family "Bacterial small subunit ribosomal RNA", at positions 524 to 776 of the family's 1533-position model. The record is from RNAcentral.